CAGUCGCCGCGGUAAUACGUAGGGUGCGAGCGUUGUCCGGAUUUAUUGGGCGUAAAGGGCUCGUAGGCGGCCUGUCGCGUCGGAAGUGAAAGCCCACUGCUUAACGGUGGGUCUGCUUCCGGUACGGGCAGGCUGGAGUAUGGCAGGGGAGACUGGAAUUCCUGGUGUAGCGGUGGAAUGCGCAGAUAUCAGGAAGAACACCGGUGGCGAAGGCGGGUCUCUGGGCCAUUACUGACGCUGAGGAGCGAAAGCGUGGGGAGCGAACAGGAUUAGAUACCCCAGUAGUCCCUGUCUCUUAUAC
RNAcentral lists this ribosomal RNA (301 nucleotides) under uncultured bacterium. Its description in RNAcentral is "partial 16S ribosomal RNA". It matches the Rfam family "Bacterial small subunit ribosomal RNA", at positions 509 to 807 of the family's 1533-position model. The record is from RNAcentral.